RNAcentral lists this ribosomal RNA (461 nucleotides) under Streptococcus mitis. Its description in RNAcentral is "bacterial SSU rRNA". It matches the Rfam family "Bacterial small subunit ribosomal RNA", at positions 28 to 473 of the family's 1533-position model. Lineage: Bacteria; Bacillati; Bacillota; Bacilli; Lactobacillales; Streptococcaceae. The record is from RNAcentral.
GACGAACGCUGGCGGCGUGCCUAAUACAUGCAAGUAGAACGCUGAAGGAGGAGCUUGCUCUUUCUGGAUGAGUUGCGAACGGGUGAGUAACGCGUAGGUAACCUGCCUGGUAGCGGGGGAUAACUAUUGGAAACGAUAGCUAUACCGCAUAAUAGUAGAUGUUGCAUGACAUUUGCUUAAAAGGUGCAAUUGCAUCACUACCAGAUGGACCUGCGUUGUAUUAGCUAGUUGGUGAGGUAACGGCUCACCAAGGCAACGAUACAUAGCCGACCUGAGAGGGUGAUCGGCCACACUGGGACUGAGACACGGCCCAGACUUCUACGGGAGGCAGCAGUAGGGAAUCUUCGGCAAUGGACGGAAGUCUGACCGAGCAACGCCGCGUGAGUGAAGAAGGUUUUCGGAUCGUAAAGCUCUGUUGUAAGAGAAGAACGAGUGUGAGAGUGGAAAGUUCACACUGUGAC